This 450-nucleotide ribosomal RNA is filed under the name Triticum aestivum (bread wheat). RNAcentral describes it as "partial small subunit ribosomal RNA". Lineage: Eukaryota; Viridiplantae; Streptophyta; Magnoliopsida; Poales; Poaceae. The record is from RNAcentral.
AUGCGACCACCUUUGGGUGCUUGUGCUCGCGCCUCCGGCUCGCAGGCGCACUCCGGAGUCGGAGGCGCGCGCCGCGAGAGGCAACGUGUACGGGAGAGGGAGGCGGCGGAGCAGUCCGCGCGCCGCCGCCGUGGGACGAAGCCGGACGUCGACAAGGACGCGCGUCUCCUCGCCUGGGUGUACCACCGCUCCCUCACAGCGUCGAAGACGGACGCUUGCCUCCGACGGAAGAACGCCAAGGCGCUCUGGCUAGCCAUUGAGCAGCCGGAGCGCGAGGCGAAUGAGGCAACGGUGGAGGAGGCACGUGUGGCAAGGCUGAAGCGGGAGCAGGACAGGGCGGUCCGUCGGAUGAAGGAGCUCGUUGUCCUUUCCAACUCCAAAUCCGACAGCGGCGACAUCGGCACCUCGUCGUCCGACGACCAAGACCCUCCACCAGUCUCGGACGCCUAA